GUAGAUAAGAUGCCAUGAAAUAGCAUAACCUGGGAGGUGGUUUCCUCAGGGCAGGGCUUAUCCACUGCACCCUUACAUGUGCUCACCUCAGCCAUUUUCCCAAGCGUGGAAAGCUUGAUGGCAUCAUUUCUAGCAGCGGGACCCUUCAAUGAUUAUUCUCCUCC
Molecule: small nuclear RNA, 164 nt
Filed under: Sorex araneus (European shrew)
Lineage: Eukaryota; Metazoa; Chordata; Mammalia; Eulipotyphla; Soricidae
Description: U1 spliceosomal RNA (ENSSARG00000019835.1)
Source: RNAcentral